This 377-nucleotide ribosomal RNA is filed under the name uncultured bacterium. RNAcentral's name for it is "bacterial SSU rRNA". It matches the Rfam family "Bacterial small subunit ribosomal RNA", at positions 523 to 898 of the family's 1533-position model. The record is from RNAcentral.
AGACGUAGGGGGCGAGCGUUGUCCGGAAUUAUUGGGCGUAAAGGGCGUGUAGGCGGCCUGUCAAGUCAGCUGUGAAAUUCCCCGGCUCAACUGGGGGUGUGCAGUUGAAACUGGUGAGCUUGAGUGCAGGAGAGGAGGGUGGAAUUCCUGGUGUAGCGGUGAAAUGCGUAGAUAUCAGGAGGAACACCGGUGGCGAAGGCGACCUUCUGGCCUGUUACUGACGCUGAGGCGCGAAAGCCAGGGGAGCGAACAGGAUUAGAUACCCUGGUAGUCCUGGCUGUAAACGCUGGGUACUAGGUGUAGGCGGUUUAGAUACUGUCUGUGCCGUAGUUAACGCAUUAAGUACCCCGCCUGGGGAGUACGAUCGCAAGGUUGAA